This 85-nucleotide transfer RNA is filed under the name Spirochaetia bacterium. RNAcentral describes it as "tRNA-Leu". It matches the Rfam family "tRNA". From Rfam's summary of the family: Transfer RNA (tRNA) molecules are approximately 80 nucleotides in length. Their secondary structure includes four short double-helical elements and three loops (D, anti-codon, and T loops). Lineage: Bacteria; Pseudomonadati; Spirochaetota; Spirochaetia. The record is from RNAcentral.
UGCCGAAGUGGUGGAAUGGUAGACACCGGAGACUUAAAAUCUCCUGGGCGCAAGCCCGUACGGGUUCAACUCCCGUCUUCGGCAG